RNAcentral lists this long non-coding RNA (448 nucleotides) under Chinchilla lanigera (long-tailed chinchilla). RNAcentral's name for it is "lncRNA (ENSCLAG00000025042.1)". The record is from RNAcentral. Lineage: Eukaryota; Metazoa; Chordata; Mammalia; Rodentia; Chinchillidae.
GUUUACAUACACAGGCAAGAAGCUGGCUACGACCUACAGCCCAUAGCUUGCUGACAUUUGUUUCUGACUUACUGUACUAUUUUUCAUUUUGUCCCUCCAGUGUGCCAAGGAACUCCUACUUUAGAGUCCUCCACUGUCUCUGGACUUCUCCGGCAGCUCUGCACCCUCUGGCCAUCUUGGACGUCUGUGCCCCACCUCUGGGAACCGCCAGGUUCCGCUUGCUCCUCUGGGGCCUGGUGUGCCUCUGCUGAUGGUUUCCCUGUCCAAGCACCGCUGCCUUCGACAAGAACCUGAGCGUUCGGUGGUGGCCAUUGCCUCCAGCCCCGCUGGAUGCUGCCACCUGGAAGAGCCACGUAGCCUCCAGUCGUCAUGGGGUGGAGCUGCUCCCCUGUCUGACCAAGGAGUGAGAGAAAAGAGAGGAAGGAAUGACUGCCAAGGCACAAGGGGA